AUUCGCUGCUCCACCUCUCGGCGAGAUGCGAGGAGAGCCCCGCCGUUGCUGCAGUUCUCCGUCAGUGGCGUCACGAACCUUCUGAGGCUCCUCUUUCCCAAGAAACAGACGUCAGCCACCGCCACCCGCUUCAUCCCUUCUUCAUCUUUGCUCUCGGUGGCGAGCUUCUGGCAGAGAUGAACUAGCGCCUUCUUUGGCUCAGUAGCGUGGAUGAUGUCCUUCGAGUUCACAAGGCGGACUAUGGUCGUGCUUGCUUCCUUACAGGAUGAUGAUCGAUGCCUUUUUUGGCAUCAGCUACUUCCUAGUUUCAAAUGCCGGCUAGCAAGAUAUUGAGAUGCAUGUGGCUGAUCAAGAAUCUCAAAGCCUCCACACCGAGUUGGAAAGGUAGCUUGGUUGCUCACUGAAGUUUUGAUAAUUCCUGAAGAUUUGGUUUUUGAUACAGCUACUGUUUUGUAAUGCUUUCCAUAUGUGCUGAAUCAGACAGGCGAUUAUAUCUUGUUACCGAACAAACUUCUCAGAAAACAGAAGUUUUUGUAUCA
Molecule: long non-coding RNA, 539 nt
Organism: Musa acuminata subsp. malaccensis (wild Malaysian banana)
Lineage: Eukaryota; Viridiplantae; Streptophyta; Magnoliopsida; Zingiberales; Musaceae
Source: RefSeq, a predicted model, not a curated record